This 301-nucleotide ribosomal RNA is filed under the name uncultured bacterium. RNAcentral describes it as "partial 16S ribosomal RNA". It matches the Rfam family "Bacterial small subunit ribosomal RNA", at positions 509 to 807 of the family's 1533-position model. The record is from RNAcentral.
CAGCCGCCGCGGUAAUACGUAGGGUGCAAGCGUUAAUCGGAAUUACUGGGCGUAAAGCGUGCGCAGGCGGUUUGUUAAGACGGGUGUGAAAUCCCCGGGCUUAACCUGGGAACUGCAUUUGUGACUGGCAAGCUAGAGUAUGGCAGAGGGGGGUGGAAUUCCGCGUGUAGCAGUGAAAUGCGUAGAUAUUGGGAAGAACACCGGUGGCGAAGGCGGCAACCUGGUCCAUGACUGACGCUGAGGCGCGAAAGCGUGGGGAGCAAACAGGAUUAGAUACCCCCGUAGUCCCUGUCUCUUAUAC